UUCCAGGGAUGGAAAUCGAACCCACAAUGUUCCGCUUACCGGGCAGAUGCCAUGUCCACUAGGCUACCCUGGA
This 73-nucleotide transfer RNA is filed under the name Cordylochernes scorpioides. Its description in RNAcentral is "tRNA-Thr". The record is from RNAcentral. Lineage: Eukaryota; Metazoa; Arthropoda; Arachnida; Pseudoscorpiones; Chernetidae.